RNAcentral lists this ribosomal RNA (397 nucleotides) under uncultured bacterium. RNAcentral describes it as "bacterial SSU rRNA". It matches the Rfam family "Bacterial small subunit ribosomal RNA", at positions 30 to 430 of the family's 1533-position model. The record is from RNAcentral.
AUUGAACGCUGGCGGCAGGCUUAACACAUGCAAGUCGAGCGGAGUAUUGGUGCUUGCACCAAUACUUAGCGGCGGACGGGUGAGUAAUGCUUAGGAAUCUGCCUAUUAGUGGGGGACAACAUCUCGAAAGGGAUGCUAAUACCGCAUACGCCCUACGGGGAAGCAGGGGAUCUUCGGACCUUGCGCUAAUAGAUGAGCCUAAGUCGGAUUAGCUAGUUGGUGGGUAAAGGCCUACCAAGGCGACGAUCUGUAGCGGGUCUGAGAGGAUGAUCCGCCACACUGGGACUGAGACACGGCCCAGACUCCUACGGGAGGCAGCAGUGGGGAAUAUUGGACAAUGGGGGGAACCCUGAUCCAGCCAUGCCGCGUGAGUGAAGAAGGCCUUCGGGUUGUUAAA